CGGGUGAGUAACACGUGAGUAACCUGCCCUUCACUCUGGGAUAACGUCGGGAAACCGGUGCUAAUACUGGAUAUGACCUACUCGGGCAUCCGAUGUGGGUGGAAAGAUUUAUUGGUGGGGGAUGGACUCGCGGCCUAUCAGCUUGUUGGUGAGGUAAUGGCUUACCAAGGCGACGACGGGUAGCCGGCUUGAGAGAACGACCAGCCACACUGGGACUGAGACACGGCCCAG
RNAcentral lists this ribosomal RNA (231 nucleotides) under uncultured bacterium. RNAcentral's name for it is "partial 16S ribosomal RNA". It matches the Rfam family "Bacterial small subunit ribosomal RNA", at positions 103 to 334 of the family's 1533-position model. The record is from RNAcentral.